GAUUUCUGACGAACCGGAGUGGCCCGUUCCCAUUCGGGUAUGAGUGCCGCUUUGAGUUUGUCAUCCUUCCAGAAAGCUGCGACUACCGUUUACUCGGCCGGCCGUAUGCGAUCUGGAUCUAUUACUUUGAAAAAAUUAGAGUGUUUAAAGCAGGCUUAUGCUGUGAAUACAUUAGCAUGGAAUAAUAAUUUAGGACUUUGGUUCUAUUUUGUUGGUUUCUAGGACUGAAGUAAUGAUUGAUAGGGAUAGUUGGGGGUGCUAGUAUUCAGCGGCCAGAGGUGAAAUUCUCGGAUUCGCUGAAGACUAACUUAUGCGAAAGCAUU
This 323-nucleotide ribosomal RNA is filed under the name uncultured Euglypha. Its description in RNAcentral is "SSU rRNA". The stretch from base 108 to 323 matches the Rfam family "Eukaryotic small subunit ribosomal RNA", at positions 738 to 955 of the family's 1831-position model. Lineage: Eukaryota; Cercozoa; Imbricatea; Euglyphida; Euglyphidae. The record is from RNAcentral.